RNAcentral lists this ribosomal RNA (465 nucleotides) under Vreelandella stevensii. RNAcentral's name for it is "partial 16S ribosomal RNA". It matches the Rfam family "Bacterial small subunit ribosomal RNA", at positions 338 to 795 of the family's 1533-position model. The record is from RNAcentral. Lineage: Bacteria; Pseudomonadati; Pseudomonadota; Gammaproteobacteria; Oceanospirillales; Halomonadaceae.
CCUACGGGUGGCUGCAGUGGGGAAUAUUGGACAAUGGGCGAAAGCCUGAUCCAGCCAUGCCGCGUGUGUGAAGAAGGCCUUCGGGUUGUAAAGCACUUUCAGUGGGGAAGAAAGCCUUGGGGCUAAUACCCUCGAGGAAGGACAUCACCCACAGAAGAAGCACCGGCUAACUCCGUGCCAGCAGCCGCGGUAAUACGGAGGGGGCGAGCGUUAAUCGGAAUUACUGGGCGUAAAGCGCGCGUAGGCGGUCUGAUAAGCCGGUUGUGAAAGCCCCGGGCUCAACCUGGGAACGGCAUCCGGAACUGUCAGGCUAGAGUGCAGGAGAGGAAGGUAGAAUUCCCGGUGUAGCGGUGAAAUGCGUAGAGAUCGGGAGGAAUACCAGUGGCGAAGGCGGCCUUCUGGACUGACACUGACGCUGAGGUGCGAAAGCGUGGGUAGCAAACAGGAUUAGAUACCCGUGUAGUC